RNAcentral lists this ribosomal RNA (448 nucleotides) under uncultured bacterium. Its description in RNAcentral is "partial 16S ribosomal RNA". It matches the Rfam family "Bacterial small subunit ribosomal RNA", at positions 354 to 796 of the family's 1533-position model. The record is from RNAcentral.
GUAGGGAAUCUUCGGCAAUGGACGAAAGUCUGACCGAGCAACGCCGCGUGAGUGAAGAAGGUUUUCGGAUCGUAAAACUCUGUUGGUAGAAGAACGUUGGUGAGAGUGGAAAGCUCAUCAAGUGACGGUAACUACCCAGAAAGGGACGGCUAACUACGUGCCAGCAGCCGCGGUAAUACGUAGGCCCCGAGCGUUGUCCGGAUUUAUUGGGCGUAAAGCGAGCGCAGGUGGUUUAUUAAGUCUGGUGUAAAAGGCAGUGGCUCAACCAUUGUAUGCAGUGGAAACUGGUAGACUUGAGUGCAGGAGAGGAGAGUGGAAUUCCAUGUGUAGCGGUGAAAUGCGUAGAUAUAUGGAGGAACACCGGUGGCGAAAGCGGCUCUCUGGCCUGUAACUGACACUGAGGCUCGAAAGCGUGGGGAGCAAACAGGAUUAGAUACCCUGGUAGUCC